UUGUGUUGCAAGUGCCGUAAAACUCUUACUAAAACAACAAUUUUUCUCCUCUGUUUGUUCCUGGCCAGGCGGUCCUGGAGGAGUUUGAGGACAAGCUGAGCCAGGCACACACACGGGGGCUGGACCAGGAGGGCGCGGUGGGGCGGGCCGCGGGCAAGUCUGUGUGUGAGCGGCCCGUCGGGAGAGCAGGGGGCAGGAAAACUCCAGCUCGUAAGAAACCAAACUCCUCUAACAAAGAGAAUGAUGGCGUGGACUGUGACGAAGAAAACGCUGGAGGUAGAAAGACACGAGCGGCGCGGGGAGGGACAGGCAAGGGGACGAAACCCAAAGGGAAACAACAAAAGUUCACACUGGACUCGGAUGAUGACAACGACGACGAUUUGUUUGAUGUUGGCAAUGACGGCUCCGACAAUGACCUUGACCCUGUCAUCACCCCGGCCAAGUCUCCGUCAAAGGGCAGAUCACGGCGAGGCAAGGUGGCGCUCACGCCUCUCCAGUCUCCGUGAAAUUGUCACACUCAUAUGUUGCCUCUCACAUGUUCACUCUUUUUUUUUUCUCUUUCUUUC
Molecule: long non-coding RNA, 566 nt
Organism: Aplysia californica (California sea hare)
Lineage: Eukaryota; Metazoa; Mollusca; Gastropoda; Aplysiida; Aplysiidae
Exons: 3
Source: RefSeq, a predicted model, not a curated record